GUGAUGCUGAGUGUGUGUCAGUGAUACGCUGUGUCAGUGAUGUUGUGCUGUGGGGUCUCUUACAGAAUCUGUGUCAAAGCCUCAUAUUACAUCAGUAGCUGAAGGGGGCAGAAGCUGCUCCCUGCAGGGCUCUGUGCAGAAUGGGAGAGAGGUCAUCCUGUCCUGGAGGACAGAGGGACAGAGACUGUCCCACACCAGCAGCCCCAAUCUCAGGACCGUGUCCCUCACUCUGGAGAUAGAGGUGUCCAACUUCACCUAUACCUGUGUGGCUAAAAACCCAAUCAGUGAGGAAAGAACAGCUUUCUACCCCACACAGGUCUGCAGGCCGAAGGGUCAUGGUUCCCAUGAUGCUCUGCUGUAUAUAAUGUUUGUGUUGAGGCUGGUGGAGUUUGUGUUGGUGACCCUGGCUGUCGGACUUUUAAUCCAUCAGUACAGAAAAGGAAGAAUUCUUACUUUGCCCAGCACUGAGAGAAG
Long non-coding RNA from Anguilla anguilla (European eel), 474 nucleotides. RefSeq lists it as uncharacterized. The transcript is spliced from 3 exons. NCBI's taxonomy places the organism in Eukaryota, Metazoa, Chordata, Actinopteri, Anguilliformes, Anguillidae. The record is from RefSeq and is a predicted model, not a curated record.